GAGCCUCGAGGUGUGACUGUAAUGUAGUUCUAGAAUAAAACUACAGGUGGCAGUAAUCCAACAACGCUGCCGUCAACCUGUAAAGAAGAAGACGAAGAAGAAGAAGAGUGACAGCAAGAAGUGUCCACGUCAACAUGGAGUCUUCGUGUCUGGAACCUUCACUUUACACAAUAAAGGCUCUUUUCAUUCUUGACAACGAUGGCAACAGACUUCUGUCAAAGUACUACGACCCAGACUUGUACUCCUCCAUGAAGGAGCAGAGGAACUUUGAGAAGAACAUUUUUAACAAGACUCACAAAGCCGACAAUGAAAUUGCUUUCCUAGAGGGCCUGACCGUGGUCUACAAGAGCAGUAUCGAUCUUUUUCUCUACGUGGUUGGCAGCGCUCAGGAGAACGAGUUAAUGCUGACGUCUGUCCUCAGUUGUCUCUUUGAGGCCCUUACUCACAUCCUCAGAAAAAAUGUGGAGCGCAGAAGUUUAUUGGAGAAUAUGGAAGGGGCGUUUCUUGUUGUUGAUGAAAUCAUCGAUGGCGGAGUGAUUCUGGAGAGCGAUCCUCAACAGGUCCUCCAAAAGGUCAAUUACAAGCUUGCGUCAGAAGCCACCUACGGUUUUGUGCUUUUUGAUCACAUGACUGCUAACCUGCAGACAGACAAGAGCCAGCUGUCGUAGCCACAGACGGGGAGAAAGAGAGAGGUGGACGACAACCCACUGUCUGAACAAAGUGUCGCCCAGCAAAUCAGUGACAAACUGACUCUGACUUCUAAUGUACUGCAGUCGGCAAAGGAGCAGAUCAAAUGGUCCAUUCUGAAGUAAGAAGUACAAAGUUUGUUUACAAAAAAAACACCAAAGUGAAAAUCUUUCUGCAGUUUGUGUAUUACUGUCAUCGCACAACAUGAUUGUACUUAUGAAGUACUUUGUAAAAAAAGAACAUUGUUGUGUACUACAUGAGUUUCAUGUACUUGUUGCAAGUUGAAAUAUUGAAGAAGUAUAAUGUACAUAUUAGAGUGGAUCAAUAUUUAUUAUUUGGAAGCUAGAAGAAAAGUAUUUAAAUGUUACGUCCUUCAUAAAAAAAUAUAUAUUUUGCAGUACAAAAGUACAUGUAGAGAACUAAUAAAAUAUUUUUCUGCCCUCAA
Nerophis ophidion (straightnose pipefish) is the source of this 1132-nucleotide RNA transcript. It is a transcript of the gene named COPI coat complex subunit zeta 2, with no coding region annotated. The transcript has 11 exons. The record is from RefSeq and is a predicted model, not a curated record. Lineage: Eukaryota; Metazoa; Chordata; Actinopteri; Syngnathiformes; Syngnathidae.